AGAUAUGUGAUGAUCGAAUUGUUUCCCUAUUUGUUUGAUUGGCUGCCAUGAUGGCUAAAUCUGCAUUAGCUCUAUCUGAUCAUCU
This is a non-coding RNA of Zea mays, 85 nucleotides long. The record is from Rfam. NCBI's taxonomy places the organism in Eukaryota, Viridiplantae, Streptophyta, Magnoliopsida, Poales, Poaceae.